AACGCGAAGAACCUUACCUGGGCUUGACAUGCUGGUGUAAGCCGGUGGAAACAUCGGCCCCUCUUCGGAGCGCCAGCACAGGUGCUGCAUGGCUGUCGUCAGCUCGUGUCGUGAGAUGUUGGGUUAAGUCCCGCAACGAGCGCAACUCUCGCUCCCAGUUGCCAGCGGUUCGGCCGGGGACUCUGGGGGGACUGCCGGCGUUAAGCCGGAGGAAGGUGGGGACGACGUCAAGUCAUCAUGGCCCUUACGUCCAGGGCGACACACGUGCUACAAUGCCUGGUACAGCGCGUCGCCAACUCGCAAGAGGGAGCCAAUCGCCAAAAGCCGGGCUAAGUUCGGAUUGUCGUCUGCAACUCGACGGCAUGAAGCCGGAAUCGCUAGUAAUCGCGGAUCAGCCACGCCGCGGUGAAUACGUUCCCGGGCCUUGUACACACCGUAGUAC
Molecule: ribosomal RNA, 442 nt
Filed under: uncultured bacterium
Lineage: Bacteria
Description: bacterial SSU rRNA
Rfam family: Bacterial small subunit ribosomal RNA
Source: RNAcentral